GGGUUGUGAGGUUAAGCGACUAAGCGUACACGGUGGAUGCCCUGGCAGUCAGAGGCGAUGAAGGACGUGCUAAUCUGCGAUAAGCGUCGGUAAGGUGAUAUGAACCGUUAUAACCGGCGAUUUCCGAAUGGGGAAACCCAGUGUGAUUCGUCACACUAUCAUUAACUGAAUCCAUAGGUUAAUGAGGCGAACCGGGGGAACUGAAACAUCUAAGUACCCCGAGGAAAAGAAAUCAACCGAGAUUCCCCCAGUAGCGGCGAGCGAACGGGGAGCAGCCCAGAGCCUGAAUCAGUGUGUGUGUUAGUGGAAGCGUCUGGAAAGGCGUGCGAUACAGGGUGACAGCCCCGUACACAAAAAUGCACAUAUUGUGAGCUCGAUGAGUAGGGCGGGACACGUGGUAUCCUGUCUGAAUAUGGGGGGACCAUCCUCCAAGGCUAAAUACUCCUGACUGACCGAUAGUGAACCAGUACCGUGAGGGAAAGGCGAAAAGAACCCCGGCGAGGGGAGUGAAAAAGAACCUGAAACCGUGUACGUACAAGCAGUGGGAGCACGCUUAGGCGUGUGACUGCGUACCUUUUGUAUAAUGGGUCAGCGACUUAUAUUCUGUAGCAAGGUUAACCGAAUAGGGGAGCCGAAGGGAAACCGAGUCUUAACUGGGCGUUAAGUUGCAGGGUAUAGACCCGAAACCCGGUGAUCUAGCCAUGGGCAGGUUGAAGGUUGGGUAACACUAACUGGAGGACCGAACCGACUAAUGUUGAAAAAUUAGCGGAUGACUUGUGGCUGGGGGUGAAAGGCCAAUCAAACCGGGAGAUAGCUGGUUCUCCCCGAAAGCUAUUUAGGUAGCGCCUCGUGAAUUCAUCUCCGGGGGUAGAGCACUGUUUCGGCAAGGGGGUCAUCCCGACUUACCAACCCGAUGCAAACUGCGAAUACCGGAGAAUGUUAUCACGGGAGACACACGGCGGGUGCUAACGUCCGUCGUGAAGAGGGAAACAACCCAGACCGCCAGCUAAGGUCCCAAAGUCAUGGUUAAGUGGGAAACGAUGUGGGAAGGCCCAGACAGCCAGGAUGUUGGCUUAGAAGCAGCCAUCAUUUAAAGAAAGCGUAAUAGCUCACUGGUCGAGUCGGCCUGCGCGGAAGAUGUAACGGGGCUAAACCAUGCACCGAAGCUGCGGCAGCGACGCUUAUGCGUUGUUGGGUAGGGGAGCGUUCUGUAAGCCUGUGAAGGUGUGCUGUGAGGCAUGCUGGAGGUAUCAGAAGUGCGAAUGCUGACAUAAGUAACGAUAAAGCGGGUGAAAAGCCCGCUCGCCGGAAGACCAAGGGUUCCUGUCCAACGUUAAUCGGGGCAGGGUGAGUCGACCCCUAAGGCGAGGCCGAAAGGCGUAGUCGAUGGGAAACAGGUUAAUAUUCCUGUACUUGGUGUUACUGCGAAGGGGGGACGGAGAAGGCUAUGUUGGCCGGGCGACGGUUGUCCCGGUUUAAGCGUGUAGGCUGGUUUUCCAGGCAAAUCCGGAAAAUCAAGGCUGAGGCGUGAUGACGAGGCACUACGGUGCUGAAGCAACAAAUGCCCUGCUUCCAGGAAAAGCCUCUAAGCAUCAGGUAACAUCAAAUCGUACCCCAAACCGACACAGGUGGUCAGGUAGAGAAUACCAAGGCGCUUGAGAGAACUCGGGUGAAGGAACUAGGCAAAAUGGUGCCGUAACUUCGGGAGAAGGCACGCUGAUAUGUAGGUGAAGUCCCUUGCGGAUGGAGCUGAAAUCAGUCGAAGAUACCAGCUGGCUGCAACUGUUUAUUAAAAACACAGCACUGUGCAAACACGAAAGUGGACGUAUACGGUGUGACGCCUGCCCGGUGCCGGAAGGUUAAUUGAUGGGGUCAGCGCAAGCGAAGCUCUUGAUCGAAGCCCCGGUAAACGGCGGCCGUAACUAUAACGGUCCUAAGGUAGCGAAAUUCCUUGUCGGGUAAGUUCCGACCUGCACGAAUGGCGUAAUGAUGGCCAGGCUGUCUCCACCCGAGACUCAGUGAAAUUGAACUCGCUGUGAAGAUGCAGUGUACCCGCGGCAAGACGGAAAGACCCCGUGAACCUUUACUAUAGCUUGACACUGAACAUUGAGCCUUGAUGUGUAGGAUAGGUGGGAGGCUUUGAAGUGUGGACGCCAGUCUGCAUGGAGCCGACCUUGAAAUACCACCCUUUAAUGUUUGAUGUUCUAACGUGGACCCGUGAUCCGGGUUGCGGACAGUGUCUGGUGGGUAGUUUGACUGGGGCGGUCUCCUCCUAAAGAGUAACGGAGGAGCACGAAGGUUGGCUAAUCCUGGUCGGACAUCAGGAGGUUAGUGCAAUGGCAUAAGCCAGCUUGACUGCGAGCGUGACGGCGCGAGCAGGUGCGAAAGCAGGUCAUAGUGAUCCGGUGGUUCUGAAUGGAAGGGCCAUCGCUCAACGGAUAAAAGGUACUCCGGGGAUAACAGGCUGAUACCGCCCAAGAGUUCAUAUCGACGGCGGUGUUUGGCACCUCGAUGUCGGCUCAUCACAUCCUGGGGCUGAAGUAGGUCCCAAGGGUAUGGCUGUUCGCCAUUUAAAGUGGUACGCGAGCUGGGUUUAGAACGUCGUGAGACAGUUCGGUCCCUAUCUGCCGUGGGCGCUGGAGAACUGAGGGGGGCUGCUCCUAGUACGAGAGGACCGGAGUGGACGCAUCACUGGUGUUCGGGUUGUCAUGCCAAUGGCACUGCCCGGUAGCUAAAUGCGGAAGAGAUAAGUGCUGAAAGCAUCUAAGCACGAAACUUGCCCCGAGAUGAGUUCUCCCUGACUCCUUGAGAGUCCUGAAGGAACGUUGAAGACGACGACGUUGAUAGGCCGGGUGUGUAAGCGCAGCGAUGCGUUGAGCUAACCGGUACUAAUGAACCGUGAGGCUUAACCUUACAACGCCGAAGGUGUUU
This 2931-nucleotide ribosomal RNA is filed under the name Escherichia coli. RNAcentral describes it as "23S ribosomal RNA". It matches the Rfam family "Bacterial large subunit ribosomal RNA". Lineage: Bacteria; Pseudomonadati; Pseudomonadota; Gammaproteobacteria; Enterobacterales; Enterobacteriaceae. The record is from RNAcentral.